AAGCUUUGUAAACAGAAGAGAACUAUGUCCAUAGUAAUUAUUCUUAACUUCUCCAGCCUUUGGUUUCAAUCUGACGUGAAGAGAGUUGAAUGAAGGGAUCUUCAGAGCGUUACCAGAAAGAGAACCGGUUCCAAACUCAGGUUCAGCUGCUCACCACUCGCAGAACAACACUUGAGAGAUAAGUGAUGGUAGGAAAGGACAGGUUGCUUUGUUCAGGAAGCCAGCAACCUGGGAAAAUGGUGGACUAACAUCUCCAGGACCAUCUUCCCUGUCCAGGUGCAUUCGGACCAUGAACUCAAAGGCAGGGACCAUGGUUCAUUCAUCUCUGCAUCACAGAGCCUAGCCUGGAAUACGAUAUUGGAGGAGGUCAGCAAGAGGACGUGACUGCAGGUUGACCCGUGAGCUGGACCCGGCAGUCGGAGGCUCCUCACCUCCAAUCCUGUCCUUGGAAUAUACACUCCGCUGGCCUUCCCCACUUCCAGAGGCUUCCCCAAGGACACGGCCUUGAGAUAGGUAGUGAUGAGAAGACCCGCAUGGUGUACAUGACUGAGCCCAGGCCAAUUUCAGAUUUCACCUGGGAAGUUGACGGGGUUGUGAACUAACUGUUGAGCCAGCCAGGACGCUAAAGAAAUGGGCCUUGGGAGAGAGGCAUUCUACAGAACAAUCCUGAGUUGACCAUCAAUUUCUGCGUGCGGGGCAUGGGGUCCCGUGGAUUAGAGGCUUGUGGACCACACGACACCUUGCAGGUGAUACACUUACAAGGGAGAGAAUAGACAGUGAACCUACAGAAAAUUCAAGGCCCAGGCACUACCAUAAAGUCUUGGGAGUCAUUUGGUCAGGAUCUCAGGAGACAAGUAUUUAGCAUGUCUGUAUGAAGGAAAUGUACCACUCAUGACAGGGAUCCCAGGAGACAAGUAUUUAGCAUGUCUGUAUGAAGGAAAUGUACCACUCAUGACAGGAGAAGCCCAGUGAAGACCAAGCAGUAAUUUCAAAUCCCAGCUCAAUGAAACUAUUAUUGUGUCUCUGGAUGGAAACAUGCCUCCCUCUUGCUCACUGAAACUCCUAAACCAGUGGAGCCCAGAUUCAGGAAAAAGUAGCACCAGGAAUAAGUUAGGUGUGAGUUUGGCUGCUCAUAUCCCUCCCUGAGAAGUAACCCCCCUGCCCCGCCUCCAAUUUAAAGAAGGUAAGAUGUAUCAUCAUCCAAUCCGGUGAUUCUCAACUGAGGGCAAUUUUGCCCCUUAG
Lynx canadensis (Canada lynx) is the source of this 1242-nucleotide long non-coding RNA. RefSeq lists it as uncharacterized. The transcript is spliced from 9 exons. The record is from RefSeq and is a predicted model, not a curated record. Lineage: Eukaryota; Metazoa; Chordata; Mammalia; Carnivora; Felidae.